RNAcentral lists this unclassified non-coding RNA (157 nucleotides) under soil metagenome. RNAcentral's name for it is "partial internal transcribed spacer 1". The record is from RNAcentral.
CCGAGUUUACAACUCCCAAACCCCUGUGAGCAUACCCUAUCGUUGCCUUCGGCGGAUCCGCCCCGGCGCCCUGGUACGGGAUCAGGCGCCCGCCAGGAGACCCCUAAAACUCUUGUAUUUCUAUAUGUAUCUUCUGAGUAAACAAGCAUAAUAAAUA